GUACACGCUGUGACUAGCAUAUCAAUAAGCGGAGGAAAAGAAACUAACAAGGAUUCCCCUAGUAACGGCGAGUGAAGCGGGAAGAGCUCAAAUUUGAAAUCUUAAAGGGUUUCCCUUUACGAAUUGUAGUUUAAAGAAGUGUUUUCUGUUGAGGUUUUGGUAAAAGUUCUUUGGAAUAGGACAUCAUAGAGGGUGAGAAUCCCGUAUUUGACCUUUACUUUCAACUUUGUGAUACACUUUCAAAGAGUCGGAUUGUUUGGGAAUGCAGUCCAAAAUGGGUGGUAAAUUUCAUCUAAAGCUAAAUAUUGGCGAGAGACCGAUAGCGAACAAGUACCGUGAGGGAAAGAUGAAAAGAACUUUGAAAAGAGAGUUAAACAGUACGUGAAAUUGUCAAAAGGGAAGUGUUUGACACCAGUGUUGUUUUUCUGAAAAUCAAUUAAAGAACUGUUUAUGCUAAGCUGUUUAGACUUUAUCAGCUAUCUGUUUAGUUUUGAGCUUUUCUUUAAUGCACUUUUCAGUUAACAAGUCAACAUCAAUUUCUUUUGCUGUAAAAAAGCUUGAGGAAGGUGGCUUGAGAUUCGUCUUAAGUGUUUAUAGCCUCUUGCCUAUGCAGUCGGAGAGACUGAGGUCUGCAGCGUAGAUCCUUCGGGGCUAAAUGCAUUUGUGCUAAGUUAUAGCAUUUCAUAGACAACUUGUUGACUAUGAUUUGUCUUGUAGCUUACUCGCUUAUGUUAUUUUACCUACGCUUAGGAUGUUGACGAGACUGUCGAUCUC
RNAcentral lists this ribosomal RNA (774 nucleotides) under uncultured Neocallimastigales. Its description in RNAcentral is "partial large subunit ribosomal RNA". It matches the Rfam family "Eukaryotic large subunit ribosomal RNA", at positions 22 to 647 of the family's 3401-position model. Lineage: Eukaryota; Fungi; Neocallimastigomycota; Neocallimastigomycetes; Neocallimastigales. The record is from RNAcentral.